AACAUCGCGCACCUGCGGGAACCUGCGGAGGGAUCAUUAAAAAUGGUUAAAUGCCUCUCGUUGCUGGGUCGCCUAAGCCUCAGCAACGAACGUUGGCACCACAUCUUGUGCACCGUACCGUCUUUGGUGGUGGGACGGCCGCUGCUCCCUCCGGGCAGCGCGCCGUCCGUCAGUCCGGAUCGCAAGGUCCGGACCGUGGACAAGCCACCGCAUGUAUUUCCAACAUCUGCUUUUGGUCGA
RNAcentral lists this unclassified non-coding RNA (240 nucleotides) under soil metagenome. Its description in RNAcentral is "partial contains 5.8S ribosomal RNA, internal transcribed spacer 2, and large subunit ribosomal RNA". The record is from RNAcentral.